GACGAACGCUGGCGGCGUGCUUAACACAUGCAAGUCGAACGGUGAAGCUCCAGCUUGCUGGAGUGGAUCAGUGGCGAACGGGUGAGUAACACGUGAGCAACCUGCCCCUGACUCUGGAAUAAGCGCUGGAAACGGCGUCUAAUACUGGAUACGAGAAGGGUCCGCAUGGGCACUUUCUGGAAAGUUUUUCGGUUGGGGAUGGGCUCGCGGCCUAUCAGCUUGUUGGUGAGGUAAUGGCUCACCAAGGCGACGACGGGUAGCCGGCCUGAGAGGGCGACCGGCCACAGGGGGAGUGAGACGCGGCCCAGCCUCCGAGGGGGGGCGGAGGGGGGAAAUAUGGCACAAGGGGCGAAAGCCGGAUGCAGGGACGCCGGGGGGGGGAGGACGGCUUUGGGGUUGAAAACCUCUUGCAGAAGGGAAGAAGAGAAGGGGAGGUACCCGGAAAAAGAGCCCCGGGCAAACAAGGGG
RNAcentral lists this ribosomal RNA (468 nucleotides) under uncultured bacterium. Its description in RNAcentral is "partial 16S ribosomal RNA". It matches the Rfam family "Bacterial small subunit ribosomal RNA", at positions 28 to 507 of the family's 1533-position model. The record is from RNAcentral.